CCAGACUCCUACGGGAGGCAGCAGUGGGGGAUAUUGGACAAUGGGGGAAACCCUGAUCCAGCGACGCCGCGUGAGUGAAGAAGUAUUUCGGUACGUAAAGCUCUGUCAGCAGGGAAGAAAGAAAUGACGGUACCUGACCAAGAAGCCCCGGCUAACUACGUGCCAGCAGCCGCGGUAAUACGUAGGGGGCAAGCGUUAUCCGGAUUUACUGGGUGUAAAGGGAGCGUAGACGGCGAUGCAAGUCUGAAGUGAAAGGCGGGGGCCCAACCCCCGGACUGCUUCGGAAACUGUAUGGCUGGAGUGCAGGAGAGGUAAGUGGAAUUCCUAGUGUAGCGGUGAAAUGCGUAGAUAUUAGGAGGAACACCAGUGGCGAAGGCGGCUUACUGGACUGUAACUGACGUUGAGGCUCGAAAGCGUGGGGAGCAAACAGGAUUAGAUACCCCAGUA
Molecule: ribosomal RNA, 447 nt
Filed under: uncultured bacterium
Lineage: Bacteria
Description: bacterial SSU rRNA
Rfam family: Bacterial small subunit ribosomal RNA
Source: RNAcentral